This 467-nucleotide ribosomal RNA is filed under the name uncultured bacterium. Its description in RNAcentral is "partial 16S ribosomal RNA". It matches the Rfam family "Bacterial small subunit ribosomal RNA", at positions 28 to 507 of the family's 1533-position model. The record is from RNAcentral.
GACGAACGCUGGCGGCGUGCUUAACACAUGCAAGUCGAACGGAAAGGCCCUGCUUUUGUGGGGUGCUCGAGUGGCGAACGGGUGAGUAACACGUGAGUAACCUGCCCUUGACUUUGGGAUAACUUCAGGAAACUGGGGCUAAUACCGGAUAGGAGCUCCUGCUGCAUGUGGGGGUUGGAAAGUUUCGGCGGUUGGGGCUGGACUCGCGGCUUAUCAGCUUGUUGGUGGGGUAGUGGCUUACCAAGGCUCUGACGGGUAGCCGGCCUGAGAGGGUGACCUGCCACAUUGGGACUGAGAUAGGGCCCAGACUCGUACGGGAGGCAGCAGUGGGGAAUAUUGCACAAUGGGCGGAAGCCUGAUGCAGCAACGCCGCGUGCGGGAUGACGGCCUUCGGGUUGUAAACCGCUUUCGCCUGUGACGAAGCGUGAGUGACGGUAAUGGGUAAAGAAGCACCGGCUAACUACGUG